Pimephales promelas (fathead minnow) is the source of this 587-nucleotide long non-coding RNA. RefSeq lists it as uncharacterized. NCBI's taxonomy places the organism in Eukaryota, Metazoa, Chordata, Actinopteri, Cypriniformes, Leuciscidae. The record is from RefSeq and is a predicted model, not a curated record.
UUGAGGAGACGGAUUAUGUCUCGGAUGUACAUAGAUAGACUUCAGGCUAUUUAGGGAGUCACAUCCGAUUUGUCCGAGGAGAAUCACUUGAACGCACAUCACCUGGAUGAGGCUGUCCAAGAUCUAGACUUCUGAGCUUCGACUAAGUGAUGAAUUUGGGCCAAAUACUGUUUGAUUGGACACACAAAACUUCAACAAAAAAGAUAAGGGCGCUGAGAGCUGAUUGGCCGAUGACAGGUAUAUUACCGGCUGGAUCUUCAGGGAAAGCUGUAUGUUCUCCGGCUGGCUCUUGCAGGAUUUUCUGGGAAUUCGUGGAAAAAGAUACUAAUGGCAUUUAAAUCCACAUCACUGUAAAACCAGUGCAAGAUCCGCUUCCCAGAGCUUCCAGGACGAACGUUUGACCAGUUUCUCUGGGAAAGAAGGAAAACCCAUCAGGUCUGCCGGAAACUCACCGGACUCGACAAUGAAAUGAAUAUAGAGUAUUAAUGGAGAUCAGCAGCAGCGUGCUGGGAUGAGUCUGGCUGUAUGCCGUCUCAAACUGUAACAAAAGGAAACGGGUUUUGCUGAGACACCUCUUGCUCAGAGGA